AUGACGUUCGGGCAGGAGGCCAUAGAAAAACUAUCGCAGGAGCUCGUCGGCGGGUACGAUCUCAACGCGAGGCUCCUGGCAUUGCUGCGCCGCGGCCCCCUCGACGGACGUGGGCAGGAGGCGGCCGUCGCGAUGAGCCAGGAGCUCUCUCGGGUGUUCAUGGUGUCUCUGUUCAUGCUCAGGCCCGGUGACAGUAGCAGAAUGGCGGCGCCGGGGGCGGCGAUCACUGAGGGUGGCAUCGAUCAGCGGACUCCCACAAAUGAUAUUCCUAUCUGUGGUGGAGAAGAGGUUGCUCCUACAAGGAAGGGUAGAGGGAACGGGGUUACCGGCAAGGAGAUUACAGCCUCGCCUCAUAGUGAUGGUUACCAGUGGAGAAAAUACGGGCAAAAGAACAUUCAGAACAGAAAAUUUGCAAGGUGCUACUACAAAUGCAUGUUUAGCCAUGACCGCGGCUGCAGGGCGAAGAAGACGGUGCAGCAGCAGGAUACCAGCAGCGGCCGUCGUCCUAUGUUCCAGGUCACCUACGUGAACGAGCACAAGUGCCAACAAGAAGCAGUGCUUCCCAGAGAAUCUAUCGGUGGGAACAAGCACACGACAAGUAGCGGCCAUUUCGAUCCUCAACGCGCCAAAUUGGACGACGACGUCAUGGCCUCGUGCCUCGCCAUGGUCAUCGGCGGAGCUACACCUGCAGGUCUGUCGUCCUUGUCCUCGCCGCCGCCAGUCGUAAGAGCGAGCCCGAGUGCUCCGGCCGGCGGGCGUACGCCGAGCUUGCUUGGCGUGAGCAUGGGCCUGGAUGAGACGACGGUGGCGGAGAUCUCGUGCCGCUCGCCAUUUGCUCCCGUGAAGGCACCUGCAGCUCCGUCGUCGUCGUCGCUGCCCGUGGAAGCGAUCAACUCGAGUGAUCCGACGCCGGCCGGCGGCGGACUCCCCGGGAGCACGGAGGCUAUGGCGAUGGACGAAAUUUACUUCCCGUGCGGCCCGCCGUUUUCUCCCUUCCCGGCUCAGUCGAGCAUCCAUUCGGUCGACGUGCCCAUGGCUGUUGCCCGGUUCACGGACACCGACUCAGCGUGGCCAUACUACUCGUGA
RNAcentral lists this ribosomal RNA (1086 nucleotides) under Triticum aestivum (bread wheat). Its description in RNAcentral is "partial small subunit ribosomal RNA". The record is from RNAcentral. Lineage: Eukaryota; Viridiplantae; Streptophyta; Magnoliopsida; Poales; Poaceae.